This 660-nucleotide ribosomal RNA is filed under the name Lysinibacillus sp. RNAcentral describes it as "bacterial SSU rRNA". It matches the Rfam family "Bacterial small subunit ribosomal RNA", at positions 142 to 786 of the family's 1533-position model. Lineage: Bacteria; Bacillati; Bacillota; Bacilli; Caryophanales; Bacillaceae. The record is from RNAcentral.
GAUAACUCCGGGAAACCGGGGCUAAUACCGAAUAAUCUAUUUUACUUCAUGGUGAAAUACUGAAAGACGGUUUCGGCUGUCGCUAUAAGAUGGGCCCGCGGCGCAUUAGCUAGUUGGUGAGGUAACGGCUCACCAAGGCGACGAUGCGUAGCCGACCUGAGAGGGUGAUCGGCCACACUGGGACUGAGACACGGCCCAGACUCCUACGGGAGGCAGCAGUAGGGAAUCUUCCACAAUGGGCGAAAGCCUGAUGGAGCAACGCCGCGUGAGUGAAGAAGGUUUUCGGAUCGUAAAACUCUGUUGUAAGGGAAGAACAAGUACAGUAGUGAACUGGCUGUACCUUGACGGUACCUUAUUAGAAAGCCACGGCUAACUACGUGCCAGCAGCCGCGGUAAUACGUAGGUGGCAAGCGUUGUCCGGAAUUAUUGGGCGUAAAGCGCGCGCAGGCGGUCCUUUAAGUCUGAUGUGAAAGCCCACGGCUCAACCGUGGAGGGUCAUUGGAAACUGGGGGACUUGAGUGCAGAAGAGGAAAGUGGAAUUCCAAGUGUAGCGGUGAAAUGCGUAGAGAUUUGGAGGAACACCAGUGGCGAAAGGCGACUUUCUGGUCUGUAACUGACGCUGAGGCGCGAAAGCGUGGGGAGCAAACAGGAUUAGAUACC